AGCAGCCGCGGUAAUUCCAGCUCCAAUAGCGUAUAUUAAAGUUGUUGCAGUUAAAAAGCUCGUAGUUGAAUUUCGGGAUCAAUUAAUUGGUCGUGCCUAUGGUACGUACUGAUUUUAUUGGUUUCUCCCUUCUGACGAACCAUGAUGUCAUUAAUUUGGUGUCGUGAAGAAUCAGGACUGUUACUUUGAAAAAAUUAGAGUGUUUAAAGCAAGCUAACGCUUGAAUACAUUAGCAUGGAAUAAUGAAAUAGGACGUUUGAUCCUAUUUUGUUGGUUUCUAGGAUCGACGUAAUGAUUAAUAGGGAUAGUUGGGGGCAUUAGUAUUCAAUUGUCAGAGGUGAAAUUCUUGGAUUUAUUGAAGACUAACUACUGCGAAAGCAUUUGCCAAGGAUGUUUUCAUUAAUCAAGAACGAAAGUUAGGGGAUCGAAGACGAUCAGAUACCGUCGUAGUCUUAACCAUAAACUAUGCCGACUAGGGAUCGGAUGAUGUUAAUUUUUUUUAAUGACUCAUUCGGCGCCUUAUG
RNAcentral lists this ribosomal RNA (524 nucleotides) under uncultured Glomus. Its description in RNAcentral is "SSU rRNA". It matches the Rfam family "Eukaryotic small subunit ribosomal RNA", at positions 569 to 1092 of the family's 1831-position model. Lineage: Eukaryota; Fungi; Glomeromycota; Glomeromycetes; Glomerales; Glomeraceae. The record is from RNAcentral.